UGAGAGGUCUAAAAAACCACUAGUUGGGGGUCUCUUCCCCUCUAGUAGUUCCUCACAGUUUUGUGCAAAGUCGGGUCAACUUGGUUGGCUCUGCCUUGUGCUGUAGAUCUGGUUGUUGGCAUAGAGACCCUCCUUUUAGGAGACUUGUGCCACUACUAAGAUCUAGGCUGCUUGAAAAGAGACGUAUGGACCCUUCUUUCAGGAGACCUAUGUCUCGAGUCAAAGCAAGCAAGGCAAGCCUUUGGGGCUCUAGUACUAACUAUCCCCAAAGGUGUUUAUUCUUCUCGUGUAAACCAUGAUGUACGAAAAAGUUAGUUGUUAACUUAAAAACAACUCUUGGCAAUGGAUCUCUUGGUUCUCGCAUCGAUGAAGAGCGUAGCAAAGUGCGAUAAUUAUUGCGACUUGCAUUCAUAGCGAAUCAUCGAGUUCUCGAACGCAUCUUGCCCCUAGUAGUCAAUCUACUAGGCACAGUUGUUUCAGUAUCUGCAACUACCAAUCAGUUCAACUUGGUUCUUUGAACCUAAGCGAGCUGGAAAUGGGCUUGUGUUGAUGGCAUUCAGUUGCUGUCAUGGCCUUAAAUACAUUUAGUCCUAGGCAAUUGGCUUUAGUCAUUUGCCGGAUGUAGACUCUAGAGUGCCUGAGG
RNAcentral lists this ribosomal RNA (643 nucleotides) under Lichtheimia corymbifera. RNAcentral's name for it is "eukaryotic LSU rRNA". The stretch from base 332 to 485 matches the Rfam family "5.8S ribosomal RNA". The record is from RNAcentral. Lineage: Eukaryota; Fungi; Mucoromycota; Mucoromycetes; Mucorales; Lichtheimiaceae. RNAcentral also lists the same sequence under 1 other name.